UGCUCUGUAUGAUUGCUUAACUUUGCUAACUUGUGGCAGCUUGAGUAUUUCCCUUAAUCAGAGAGAGCUGAUAGGAAUGGACAAGAAAAACCAGACCCUUCCAUAUCUGUGGGCAUGAACAUUGCUGUCCACAAAUAAGUGUUUAGGUUAAGACUACCCAGAGACAAGCAGCGUUGGAUAAGAAGUCAAAGAAAUACCAAAAACAUCUCCUUGGUACUGGAAGCAAAAGUGUCUUGAGAAGGAAAAUGGAAUAGCAUUCUACUAAUAGUAAUUUGCAUGUUAGUUCAUUUACUUGUACUAAAAACGAUGCCAGUCACGUGCAGCCCUGCCUCCCUGGGAGGAUGGAGCACUGGGGGGAGUUGGGGUGUGGUAAUUAGCCAAGUUUUCCUGGGUAUCCAGACUGAUCCCAUUGCUCCGUGUUCUCCUUCUGCUUCUAGGAUGGUGCAUCGAUUUAGACAACUGGAUGCAAAGCUCUCUGAUUUGAAAGGCCUUCUGAAAGAGAUUUCCAGUAAAAUUAAAUGAGUGCAGCUGAAAUUCAAGAGCAGCUACUGGAGCAGGGUACCAGUUCAUGAAGAAAAAUUGCUCGGAGCUGGCAGUAACCCCCAAGCAGAUGGUAACGGAGGCAUCAGAGUAUCAAUGUCUCGGCAGGAGUCAGCAGGAUUUUCUUGCUAUUUUUAUUUUUGUUGAUCAAACAGCCCUUUCUGCUUGUUGCAAGGUUGUGGUGAAACGGGAGAUGAUUGCUUAUCUCCUGACAUGAUUCCUGCAUUCCCCAAACUCUUCUCAUCUGCCCUUAUGUCCACUGGCAGCAAUUAGUCCUUGUAAGCUGCUGUUGCAAAACACUCCUAUUUCCAAGAGUUCUGCUGCUGUUGCCAAAAUCCCUUUGCUUUUACACUUCACUCAAAGGGACCCGUGCAUGGGUUUCCUUCAAGCACUAAUUGCGCAUCUGAAUGAAUCCAUCUCCCUUCCUGUUCUGUCCUGCAGUAGCUGGAUCUUGCUUGUUCCUUGCACGGGCUGUCUGUCAGACCUGCUGGGGUCUGGAAUGCUGGCAUGCCAGAAAGCAAUGGAUUUCAGCAUCAUCCCCCCAAGGAAAGCCUUUGGUCCAGCCCUUCAUCCCUAUUUCAGACUGUACAGGAACAUUGUGGACUUGUUCCCCCUCUACCUGGAGCCUUUCAGCAGUGCAGAAGUUCAGCUAUUACAGCCCUGCAUGGGAGAGACAUUAAUUCAUCUAGGAAAUGUUUCUAAAGGCUUUGUGGGCAAUCCUUGCUUGGUUUCAUUGAUGAAAAUUUGUAUUCUGGGAAUGUUUGAAUUCAUUUGACUUUUCCAAUGUGUGUUUGCUGAUGUUUGCAGCUGGAAAUGGAGAAGAGAUUGUUGGAACCUUUAAAUAGAGCAGUGCUUGAUACGGUGAGGUGGCGCUUUGUGCUUUCUGUCUAAAAUAGCAGCUGAAUUCUGUCACAUUUUGUUUGGUAUAACUGAGAGCACAGCCAACUGAAAGCACUACAAAUAGCAUUUAUUUACAUGGCAAAGCAUUGUAUCAACCUUCCUUUCCAGUGUCCAGGAAUCAUGGAAUCAUAGACUCACCAGAGGAAAGGACCUGCCAGGAUGAUGGAGUCCAAGCCCUGGCCCUGCACAGACACCCCAACAAUCCCAGCCUGUGCAUCCCUGAGAGCAUUGUUCAAAUGUUCCUUGGGCUCUGUCAGCCUGGGGCUGUGCCCAUUCCCUGGGGGAGUCUGCUCAGUGCCCCAGCACCAUCUGGGAGAAGAACCUUUUCCUAAAAUCCCACCUGACCCUGCCCUGACACAGCUCCAGCCGCUCCCUCAGGUGCUGUCCCUGUCACAGAGAGCAGAGAUUGGAGAUGUCCUCUGGGAGGAAGCUGCCAGCCAUGCUGAGACCUGCUCCCUCUCUCUCCUCCUCUUCUCCAAGCUGACCAAGCCAAUUGACUUUAGCCGUUCCUCAUACAGCUUCCCCUCCUGUCCCCUCAUCAUCUUCACUCCCCUCUUUGAAUACUCUCUGCAGGCUUUGUAUCCUUAUGAUAUGUUCAGAGAGGUUGCUGCUCUUUUCUCCCUGCACCUCAUGACCCAGCUGUACUGUAUGCUGUGCAUGACACCAUCCUGGGGGCUCCAGCACUAACAAUAGCAGUGGUAUUUGUUUACAUGUGGAAACAUUUCCUGCUGAAAAGUAAAGGGCUUUCACUGAUUCACACGGCAGUUAGCUUGCACCAUAAAUUCUUGAGAUAAGAUUCCUUUCUGGAAGUUAUUUUUCCCAUAGAAUUUGUCUGCCUUGGAUGUGAAAAUUGUGCUAUUUGUUCACUCCCUUCCUAUAUAAAACCUGUGGAAUCCUUUAAACCCUUCAGGGAAAUCCCAAGGACCUUGCCUUGUAAGAAUAUAGCCUAGAGUCUCCACCUAGGCUUAAAGAGAAGACUUCUGCCAUGGAGCCUUGCAACACCAUGAUCCACCUCAGUUCCUUUCCCCAUAUGUCCCAAAUUCUUGUGGUUUUUCCUUUCCCUGUUUCCUCAUUGGUUGUGGUAUCUCUGGUGGCCAGCCCUGUCUUCCCUGUAGGCCAAUGCCAUCAGACCACUGGCCUCUGACCCCUACUUAACCUUGUGCAGAGCACAGGGCCAGGUCUUUGUCCCUGAUCCCUUUGGCAUGGUGGAUGCAAUAAACCUUCGCUGGAAUACAUCA
Molecule: long non-coding RNA, 2678 nt
Organism: Vidua chalybeata
Lineage: Eukaryota; Metazoa; Chordata; Aves; Passeriformes; Viduidae
Exons: 3
Source: RefSeq, a predicted model, not a curated record